AGCGAACGCUGGCGGCAUGCCUAACACAUGCAAGUCGCACGGGGGGGCUUCGGCCUCCCAGUGGCGGACGGGUGAGGAACGCGUAGGGACCUGUCGAGGGGUGGGGGAUAACCGCGGGAAACUGCGGCUAAUACCGCAUGACGCCGCGGCGUGACAGCCGGGGCCAAAGGCGAAAGCCGCCCGCCGAGGGGCCUGCGUCCGAUUAGCUGGUUGGCGGGGUAGCGGCCCACCAAGGCGUCGAUCGGUAGCUGGUCUGAGAGGGUGAUCAGCCACACCGGGACUGAGACACGGCCCGGACUCCUACGGGAGGCAGCAGUGGGGGAUAUUGGACAAUGGGCGCAAGCAUGAUCCAGCAAUGCCGCGUGGGUGAAGAAGGUCUUCGGAUUGUAAAGCCCUUUCGGCGGGGACGAUGGUGACGGUACCCGCAGAAGAAGCCCCGGCUAACUUCGUG
This 451-nucleotide ribosomal RNA is filed under the name uncultured bacterium. RNAcentral describes it as "partial 16S ribosomal RNA". It matches the Rfam family "Bacterial small subunit ribosomal RNA", at positions 28 to 507 of the family's 1533-position model. The record is from RNAcentral.